GGUUGAAGUAUGGGUCUUGACUCGAUUGGCAACAGCUCUUAUUCAGAUUUCUUUAAUAUACUGAUAUUGGAACCAGUAUCUAAAAGUGUAGGCCAUAACGCUGGGUUAACAAGUCUACUAAAAGUUUGUAAUUACAGCGGUCAGUAGUAUCAAGUUCUGUUAACAUGGAACGGGCAUCUCCCUUUAAACUACUGGCAAGGCAUAACCCCUUGGAUCGGUUAUCCCAGUUAUUCAAGUCACUACAUAUUUGAAAUGAGAUAAGGAACUCAUUAAGGUCAUCAUGUCCAUCAAAGGUUGAUCAGUCCGGAAUGCAGGCAGCAAAAGUCACUGGAAAUAAGGCUAUAAUAGAAUCCAAUCAACAAGGGUACUUAUUUGAUUGAAUGGUCAGCCCCUGGACAGAAAAAAAAU
This is a long non-coding RNA of Ruditapes philippinarum (Manila clam), 408 nucleotides long. RefSeq lists it as uncharacterized. NCBI's taxonomy places the organism in Eukaryota, Metazoa, Mollusca, Bivalvia, Venerida, Veneridae. The transcript is spliced from 3 exons. The record is from RefSeq and is a predicted model, not a curated record.